GUCUACGGCCAUACCACUCUGAAUGUGUCCAAUCUCAUCUGAUCUUAGACGCUAAGCAGGGUUAGGUCUGGUUAGUGCUUGGAUGGGAGACUUUUAAAGAAAUAGCAUAUUGUGAUGAACU
Molecule: ribosomal RNA, 121 nt
Filed under: Nannospalax galili (Upper Galilee mountains blind mole rat)
Lineage: Eukaryota; Metazoa; Chordata; Mammalia; Rodentia; Spalacidae
Source: RNAcentral